This is a long non-coding RNA of Austrofundulus limnaeus, 650 nucleotides long. RefSeq lists it as uncharacterized. NCBI's taxonomy places the organism in Eukaryota, Metazoa, Chordata, Actinopteri, Cyprinodontiformes, Rivulidae. The record is from RefSeq and is a predicted model, not a curated record. The transcript is spliced from 2 exons.
GUAAAAAGAAGAAAUUUACAAGUUCAGAGAUUGAAGUCCUGCUGUCAGAGAUCGAUAAAAGAAAAUCUGUCCUUUUUAGCAGCGUAAAUCGUGGAGUUAAAGGACCGACUAAAGCCAAAGAAUGGCAUGAAAUAACUGCUGCUGUUAAUUCUGUGUGUCUCCUGUGGGCCGUACAGUCGCCGAAACAAAAAAAAAGUGGUUUGAUUUGAAAAUGGCUUCAAAAAAACGUCUCGCCACAGCACGGUGCUCAAUGACUGCAACAGGAGGAGGUCAAGGUAAGGUCUGCGUUACCGACAUGGAUGUGAAAAUAAAUGCCAUAAUGGGUGAGGUUUGUGUGUCAGGCAUUCCAUCGGAGGAUGUUCCCCUGGACACCGACUUACACCAACCUGGAUGUGAGGAUAUGGCCAGUACACCUGACAGUAAUGAAGAGGAGCACAUGGAACCGCAGGCCGGACCAGCUGACGUGUCAGCCCCCCGCCGUCUCCCACGCACACAAGUGGUAUCAGAUGCCAUUCUGAAAAACCAAGAAAGCCUUUUAAAAUGUCUGGAAACUAUGUCUGGCACUUUGGAAAAAAAUAUCUGACAGUCUGGCACGCAUAGCUGAUGUGCUGACCAAAUCUCAAAAUAAAAUGUGAAUUUAAAAAGUCCAA